Molecule: ribosomal RNA, 492 nt
Filed under: uncultured Acidimicrobiales bacterium
Lineage: Bacteria; Bacillati; Actinomycetota; Acidimicrobiia; Acidimicrobiales
Description: bacterial SSU rRNA
Rfam family: Bacterial small subunit ribosomal RNA
Source: RNAcentral
CCCGCUCAGAAACUUAAAGGAAUUGACGGGUCCCCGCACAAGCGGCGGAGCAUGCGGCUUAAUUCGAUGCAACCCGAAGAACCUUACCUGGGCUUGACAUCAUGGGAAAAGCCGUAGAGAUACGGUGUGCAUUAGCGUCCAUGACAGGUGGUGCAUGGCUGUCGUCAGCUCGUGUCGUGAGAUGUUGGGUUAAGUCCCGCAACGAGCGCAACCCUUGUCCUAUGUUGCCAGCGGUUCGGCCGGGGACUCAUAGGAGACUGCCGGGGACAACUCGGAGGAAGGUGAGGACGACGUCAAGUCAUCAUGCCCCUUAUGUCCAGGGCUGCACGCAUGCUACAAUGGCCGGUACAACGGGCUGCGAUCCCGCGAGGGUGAGCGAAUCCCUUAAAGCCGGCCUCAGUUCGGAUUGGAGUCUGCAACUCGACUCCAUGAAGUCGGAGUCGCUAGUAAUCGCGGAUCAGCAAAGCCGCGGUGAAUGCGUUCUCGGGGAUU